CGGACGGGUGAGUAACGCGUGAGAAUCUGCCCUUAGGUUGGGGACAACAGUUGGAAACGACUGCUAAUACCCAAUGUGCCGAGAGGUGAAAGGUUAACUGCCUGAGGAUGAGCUCGCGUCUGAUUAGCUAGUUGGAGUGGUAACGGCACACCAAGGCGACGAUCAGUAGCUGGUCUGAGAGGAUGAUCAGCCACACUGGGACUGAGACACGGCCCAGACUCCUACGGGAGGCAGCAGUGGGGAAUUUUCCGCAAUGGGCGAAAGCCUGACGGAGCAAGACCGCGUGAGGGAGGAAGGCCUAUUGGUUGUAAACCUCUUUUGAUAGGGAAGAACACAAUGACGGUACCUAUCGAAUCAGCAUCGGCUAACUCCGUGCCAGCAGCCGCGGUAAUACGGAGGAUGCAAGCGUUAUCCGGAUUUAUUGGGCGUAAAGAGUCCGUAGGUGGCAAACCAAGUCAGUUGUUAAAGCGUAGAGCUUAACUCUAUAACGGCAAUUGAAACUGGUUAGCUAGAGUGCGAUAGGGGCAAGGGGAAUUCCCAGUGUAGCGGUGAAAUGCGUAGAUAUUGGGAAGAACAUCGGUGGCGAAGGCGCCUUGCUGGGUCUGCACUGACACUGAGGGACGAAAGCUAGGGGAGCGAAAGGGAUUAGAUACCCCUGUC
Molecule: ribosomal RNA, 660 nt
Filed under: uncultured cyanobacterium
Lineage: Bacteria; Bacillati; Cyanobacteriota
Description: bacterial SSU rRNA
Rfam family: Bacterial small subunit ribosomal RNA
Source: RNAcentral